GACGAACGCUGGCGGCGUGCUUAACACAUGCAAGUCGAACGGAAAGGCCCUGCUUUUGUGGGGUGCUCGAGUGGCGAACGGGUGAGUAACACGUGAGUAACCUGCCCUUGACUUUGGGAUAACUUCAGGAAACUGGGGCUAAUACCGGAUAGGAGCUCCUGCUGCAUGGUGGGGGUUGGAAAGUUUCGGCGGUUGGGGAUGGACUCGCGGCUUAUCAGCUUGUUGGUGGGGUAGUGGCUUACCAAGGCUUUGACGGGUAGCCGGCCUGAGAGGGUGACCGGCCACGUUGGGAAUGAGAUACGGCCCAGACUCCUACGGGCGGCAGAGGUGGGGAAGAUUGCACAAUGGGCGGAAGACGGAUGCAGCAACGCCGCGUGCGGGAUGACGGCCUUCGGGUUGUAAGCCGCUUUCGCCUGUGACGAAGCGUGAGUGACGGUAAUGGGUAAAGAAGCACCGGCUAACUACGUG
Molecule: ribosomal RNA, 468 nt
Filed under: uncultured bacterium
Lineage: Bacteria
Description: partial 16S ribosomal RNA
Rfam family: Bacterial small subunit ribosomal RNA
Source: RNAcentral